This 264-nucleotide long non-coding RNA is filed under the name Bos taurus (domestic cattle). RNAcentral describes it as "long non-coding RNA NONBTAT020267". Lineage: Eukaryota; Metazoa; Chordata; Mammalia; Artiodactyla; Bovidae. The record is from RNAcentral.
GACUGUUUACAUCCCAGCACACUCAGACAGGGACUGGUAGGAUUUUAAUCAGGCUGCCUUUGAAAAACUUGAUAUUUUUCUCAGAUAUUCCCAAAGUACCAUUUGCUUGAAAGUAGCUAUUUGCGAUCUUUAUUUAAUUUCCUCAUACUGUAAUAUGUAAUACGUAUGCUUUUCAGACUUUCUUUCAUAUGUCCAUUUUAGAGCAGGUUAGUACUUAAAUUUUGGACACUUUUCCGAACUGUUACCCAAACAGGUCAAGAAUAC